UGAAUUACGUUGAUAGAGCGCAGUAGCGGCUUUGUCCCUGUUACAGAAAGUCAGGGGUUGAUGGAACCUGAUACAUACAAGGGCUGCGAAUUACACUCUGGAGUACUUGGGUAAUGCCAAGCGGAAUGGCAAACGAUAUUUUGCCGAAAGCGGUAUGGACAGCGUGUAAGCUGGUUGUCUGUGCAAGUUGGGUGGUACCACGGUUAUGAUAAUCGUCCCUAUG
This 223-nucleotide non-coding RNA is filed under the name Paenibacillus sp. RNAcentral's name for it is "T-box sequence". It matches the Rfam family "T-box leader". Rfam says of the family: Uncharged tRNA acts as the effector for transcription antitermination of genes in the T-box leader family. Lineage: Bacteria; Bacillati; Bacillota; Bacilli; Caryophanales; Paenibacillaceae. The record is from RNAcentral.